RNAcentral lists this ribosomal RNA (490 nucleotides) under uncultured bacterium. RNAcentral describes it as "partial 16S ribosomal RNA". It matches the Rfam family "Bacterial small subunit ribosomal RNA", at positions 28 to 507 of the family's 1533-position model. The record is from RNAcentral.
GAUGAACGCUAGCGGCAGGCCUAAUACAUGCAAGUCGAACGGGAUCCAGAUCAAAGCUUGCUUUGGUCUGGUGAGAGUGGCGCACGGGUGCGUAACGCGUGAGCAACCUACCCUUGUCAGGGGGAUAGCCCGGCGAAAGUCGGAUUAAUACCGCAUGACAUCAUUGAGAGGCAUCUUUCGAUGAUCAAAGAUUUAUCGGACAAGGAUGGGCUCGCGUGACAUUAGCUAGUUGGUAAGGUAACGGCUUACCAAGGCUGCGAUGUCUAGGGGCUCUGAGAGGAGAAUCCCCCAAACUGGUACUGAGACACGGACCAGACUCCUACGGGAGGCAGCAGUAAGGAAUAUUGGUCAAUGGACGGAAGUCUGAACCAGCCAUGCCGCGUGCAGGAAGACGGCCCUAUGGGUUGUAAACUGCUUUUAUACGGGAACAAACGUCGGUACGUGUACCGGUCUGAGUGUACCGUAAGAAUAAGGAUCGGCUAACUCCGUG